Molecule: long non-coding RNA, 2347 nt
Organism: Silurus meridionalis
Lineage: Eukaryota; Metazoa; Chordata; Actinopteri; Siluriformes; Siluridae
Exons: 3
Source: RefSeq, a predicted model, not a curated record
AAUGUAGAGUAAUUAAACCGGAAGCUAUGGAAAUGCUAUUACCUGUCUUUCCACUAGAGGACGACAGAGUUCAUGAAUAGAGCUCAUGAACCGGAUACAGAAACCAAAAUGUUCUUAUAUUUUUUGUUUUUAAUUAUAAGUAAGUUAGAAAUGUUACACUAUAUCCAUGUCUCUUUACAAAAUACAAAUUUUGUGAUUUCAUGACAAAGGUGGGAGCCUUUAGGAAAGAUUUCAACACUGCGCAGGCUGUGCUGUGGUAUUAUCCUGGACUCCAGCUUCACGCACAUGCAGUGACUGUUGUAGCCUUUCCCCAAAGUGAGGACCAGGCUUAAACUUCUCCAUCUUCACAAUACUGUCAUCAGAGAUAGGCUUUUGAACUGAGCCUGUACACCGGCAUCGGGGCUGUAUCAAAAGUCCUGUUGUGUUAAAAAGGAAGAAAGUUUCUAUAAUUGAAAAUGCAGAGACAUUUAAUAAUAUGUACAAAUUCAAACAUAAUUUUUGAAAAGAAAACAUCUAUAUUGUACUUAAAAGCAGAGUGUGUUAAAUAACUUCUUAGGCAUAAUUCAUUACUGUAAUGAUCUGUUCUUUUAUUGGCAUAAGUUUAUUCUUUAACCAUAUAGAGAAAAGUGAAUAUUAAACAAUAUGUACUUACCUUCGGUCAUUGACAGUAGAGCACAUGCUAAAGCAGUGAUGGCUAGAGCUGAGCGUUUCAUAAUUUCUGAAAUAAAAAGUAAAUCUAUUUAGGAGACCACUUUUGUCAAGUUUAUCAGAAAUUCUCAGCCAGAAAGUUGACCUUGGGGUCCUUAUAAAGCCCUUCUGCCACCGGUGAAAGUAAAGGAUUGUGCAACACACAUCCUCCUCUGCAUUAUAUUUAAUGCAAGUUUCGUAAAUGGAAGUGGCUUUUUCCCCAUCUAAGCUAGAGUAAAAGAGAUUAAAUUGUAUGAUUUAAAUUUAACUGCAUUUGAAUUUAUUAUUCAACAAUAGUUUUAACAAUAUUUGGAUAUGAAAAGGAAGCAAUUAGUUUAUUUUAAAAAAGAAGCAAACAUUCAAACCUCAACAUGGCUUUUAACUCUAUCUUAUUCUGCUAUACACUUUAAAUGUCUAUACACCAGACAUUUGGGGUUGAGUUGUAUUUCCUAAACUGUUGCCACAAAGUGCAGUAGGCUGUAUCAUUAUGAUUUACCAUCAUUGGAACAUUGGCACAAACUUGUUUUAACUUUAAAAUGACCUGCACACAAAAUAGGGUCUCCUGAGCCAAUGUUUGCUGUUGCUAGAAGAAAUCACGUGGCAUGCAUAAAGCCAUUAUCACAACUCUAGCAUUUUUGACAAUGAACAUUGUUUCAAAGCAGCUUUACACAGAUGAAGCAGUAAUAAAAUAAGUUUGUCCUUAAUUAGUUAGACAUUGACAACUGUGGCAAGGAAAAACUACGUGAGAUGGCAUGAGGAAGAAACCAAGAGAAGAACCAGACUGAAAAGGGAGCCUAACCUCAUCUGGGUUUCACUGAAUCUCCUUUUACUUCAGUUCACUGUUGUUGAGGUGUGCAGUGAUUAAAUUCAACACGUGGUCCUUAGCCAUUGUGGUAGACUGUUAACAUUAACUACAGUCCAAUUUCAUCCUCAAGGCUCCCAUGUUGCUCAGUAAUAUUAUAGAUCCCCAGGCCUUUGAAGCGGAACCAUCCAAGCUGCACAGAAAGUUUUUCUUUGGUGGCUUUAAUUGGUUGUGUUUAUCAAGCACAGUUUUUAAAUGGCAAGAAAAGACAGACAUUAAUAAUCAGCAUAUGAAUCUUAAUAUUAGCGACAAUUAAAAAUAAUAAUAAAAAUCAAACCAUAACAUCACAAGAACAGUCUACUGAAAGGUCACAACAAAAAAACACCACCCAAAUAAAGAAAAUAGCCAGUGAAAAACUAAGGUUUAACGAGUCAAAGGUCAAGAGCUGAACUGAAGCAAACACUGAUCUCCAAAAUAGCGAGAUCAAAUAAAAGAUUUUCAAUAUAAUAUAAAUCUUUGUUAAGCAGUAUGUUUUGUAGAUGUAUGACAAAUGAUGUCAAACUGUUUUUGUUUUUUCCUUCAGUGAUUCUGCUUGUUAACGAGAGGUGUUCAUCGGUGGUGAAUUCUCUCAUUUGUUUUCUUUCACUCUGUCAAGUGGACUGUACUAGUAUACUAAAGCAGGGAAUAGGGAAUGAGGGUGUACAGUGUGAUUUCAGACACAGUCCAUGAGUGUCCACCCUGAACACUGUUAAUUCACAGUAUACUGACAUAGGCUACUUUCUAAAAAAAUACUCAGAAUGCAUUGUUUUAUAUGGAAUUGUACAGUUUUAAUUAAAAAACAGCCUGUUACUAUUUGAA